Molecule: long non-coding RNA, 5998 nt
Organism: Lolium perenne
Lineage: Eukaryota; Viridiplantae; Streptophyta; Magnoliopsida; Poales; Poaceae
Source: RefSeq, a predicted model, not a curated record
CUCCGCCCCGCGUCCUCUCUUCCCUCGCGCCCCCCAUCCCCGCCGCCACCUCCUUGCUCGGCCUCCUCCGCGACGGCGCCGGCGCCCCCAGCCUCCUCCCGUGCAUCUCCGCGCCUCUCACGCUGCUCCUCUCUAAUCCCCUUGCCUUCUCCUUCUGCUGCGUCCGGCGGCGCCGCUGCGCCUCCCUGGUCGCCCCGCCCUUCUCCUUCUCCCUUGCCCCGUCUUCAACCCCACCCAGCAGCUCCCCUUUUUGGCCAGCCCGUUGGGAGGAGCACGGGAGGCCGCCGGCCGCCGCUGGCCGCUGCCAUCCACAGCUCCACAGCUAACAGCAGCAACAGUGUUCGAGGUAUGUCCCUUCUGGCUUCUCACUCCCCGUAUUUGCUCUCUCUCCCCCCAUUUGCGUGUUGUGUUGUCGCUGGAGGAAAGGGAGGGGUGGAGAGCCCCAUGGGGGUGCAGAGGACAUGCGACCUGGGGAAGGGACGUGGGGACCAGCAAUUGGGGAUCUCCUCCACGACUCCGUCGACGUUGCAGGUGCUCUGGUUCUAUUCACCUGGUAGUGAUGUCGAUUUGGUCACCUACCUUCUCUCCCUUGAUGUUGGAUUUAUCAGCGAGGAACGGCAUGGCAGCGUGGUUUCUGUUUAUUCCGCAUGGUGUCCAUGGCCAAUAAUGGUGUUCAAUUCGUUGAUAUAUGCAUAGCAACCAGAGCGCUUAAUGUUGGUUUGAUUGACUUGCUAGAACUUCACAAACUUCCCUGGCAGAAGAGAAAAACUGAUAUUGCAUAAUUAUUUGCAGAUGACUGCUACCUGCUAUAAGUAAGCUGAAGGUAAGUUUUGCAAAUUAAGCUUGUCUUGACGAAUCACAUGUUUAGGAUUUUAGAAUUGAUGCCUCAUAUCAUUCUGCAGUUUGCACUUUAAGUACUGGACAGUCCUAGCUCAGUAAAGUGUUAUUUGACACACUUGGAUAAACUUUUGAUUCUUAUAUAAUCCCUAUUUGUGAACCGGCUGGUCCUUGGUAGUGGUUUUGAAGUAUUUUCUGUUGAGAAGAAGAAACUUGAGCGAUCAGUUCCUACAGAACUGAAUAAAGAUCGCAAUGGGAUACUUGAGUUAGCAUAGGUUUAUGCUUUUGACAUGAUCUUACAAUACAAGCAUAUCAGUCACUUGACAUAUGUUUAAAGUUACAAAUUACCAUAUGAUGAAAACUCUUCCCAAGCUUGUUUAAGCAAUGAGCAAGACAUAAUUUGAUAGAAGCUUUCAGUCUCUCAAUGGUUAAACUGUAACCUAUACCAUAAUACCAUAUUGCUCUAGGCUCUAGCUAUAACAUCAUUCACAUGCAGGUUAAAGGGUAUGUCACUGUAGAACAGGUCGAGAAGGACUUCUCAUGAUCUACCGGUCGUGCAAUUGAUGCCCUCGAAACGUUUCUGAAGGAGGGACUUGCUAUCAUCGCCGACGGGCACAUGUACAACAAGUGUAUAUAUUGGUUCCUGUGCGUGAUCCCGUGCUAGACUGGUUCUCACUCCACACAACCUUGCCCUCUAUGAAAAGAAGAUGAAGAUUGAUUGGUGUUGCAUAUUUUCUAUGCAGGCUAGAUGAUGAAGAUCGAUUGGUGUCUUCAUUAUUCUUUGUGAUAUGGGGCAGUAUGUUCAAUUUAGCCCUAGAUAUGGACACAGGGCGUGACAUGCUCUUUCUCUACGCUCUUUCUCUACGGAACUGUCAGUAUUGCAAUGGGGCCAAGAAAUUUUAUUGAAGUUCAUUUUCGAGGACCUUGAGUAAAUAAGGUGAUCAGGGCAUCCACCAGGGAGAACCAUCUAACCUAAAGGUUAAACAAAUCAUGCCAUCCUUCUUUUCAGAUAACCAUUGAUGUAGUUAUGCACGUGUUUUACAUGCUACAGCUGUAGUUUUCAAAAUAGGAUCAUAUAUGUGUUCAGGUCCCCUUCCAGUUUUAUCUCAUCAUCUUCUAUCAUGCUUAAUUUUUUAUUUAUUUAGACUAAGGCCAAGUGGUGGGAGUCCAUUUGUGCAGCAGCUUGCAUAACCUAUCAGUUUCUGAACUUUUAUACAGUGGCAUAGGUUGAAUCGAGGACACAGUAAGUAAGAUUCUAAACUUUUAUUUAUGCCAACUAGAAAAUCCAAAGCACAAGAUGUAUAAAUACAGAUUUAGUACAGGUAUGUCAGAAUGCAUGAAUAACUUUGCAAGCUCAUUCUUGUGAUAAAUAUCUGCCAUCCAGUAUACUAGCUGCUAGCAUAGUUUCCGAGUUCCAACUGAACAAUUUAAACUGUGCAUCUCUGUACAAUUUAAACUGUGCAUAGUGUUAGGCUUCAGAGUAAACACGAACUUGAAUUUUUUGCUGAUUGAGUGACUGAACCCAAGGACCAAGAAUUAGCUUACAGCAGCAGGUAGAUUUUGGAGGCCCGGCCUAGCUUGUAUACAGAUUUGAGGCAAAAGAAUAUAUCAAGGAAACAUGCAUGCUACAUUGUUGUUCUAGCUCCGUCCCUAUAUCCUUGUUACCAGAGUCUUAGCUAACUAUAUUAUACUCCUUAGACAGGGUCGAUAUUUGCUCUAAGGCUUGAGGCUUGAUCCAAUGGUUUCAAAUUCUUGCAUUUCGAUUAUUGGCAUUGUGUCUAAGGAGGGUUUUACUGCACAUUAAGUCAAGUUAUAUAAUGGGAGCAUGUUAGCCUUAAAUAUUAUUGCCAGACCCUUUAUUUUGGAGAUUGGUUAUUUAUUUGUGGCCCAAAUCACCAUACUGAUUCUCUAAUAGUAGUGCAGAAUAUUAUUAUCUCACACUGCCAGUUUGGUUUUCAGUUUGGUUUUCAUCCUUUGAACUGGAAUUAAGUAGAUUAUGUUUGUGGAUUUACCUACGGAAUAUUUAAAUAAUUGGAUCUAUAUCAGGUUAUUCGUAAAGUAUGAGUACUAUUUACCUUAUUCCAGAACUGUCUUAAAAGAGUAGGUGAGAUUUAUUCGUCGAUUAUCCCUACCUAUAAAAGAGUAGCUGAAUUGGAUUUGGGACUGGAAGGCCUUGGAGGCCGAGAAGGAAGGCGCCUCCGUAAAUGGCCACGGAGAAAAAUGAUGUGGCCAUUGAUGAUAAGCUGGAGGCUUGCGAUUAUUCAGUAUAAAAUGUAAUUACUUCUGGCCAAUCCUGCUAUUCCUCUUCAUUUUCUCCCUAGAAAAUAUUUUUGGCCUGCUCUAAGUUAUCUAUCAAACUCUUCUACUGACUGUAGUUGCUGAUCAGUGAAGUACAUGUGCCUUCAUUUUCUCCCUAAACAAUAUUUUUGUCCUGCCCUAAGUUAUCUAUAAAGCUCCUCUACUAACUGUAGUUGUUGAUUAGUGUACAUGUGCCCUAUGUUUCUGGCAUAUUGAGCUGGUAAUGGUUGUUCAGCUAGGAGUAUAAGAUGGAUGAAAAAAAGACCUCUGGUUUGUGACUUCGUGUCAUGUAAAAGGCCUUUAGUUUCCAUUUGGUUCAUAACAUCAUAUUAGUCUUUGCAUACAACUAAACAUGAUUGAUGACAUAUUCCAGUGAUUUGCUUUUUUAUUGAUGGCUCAGUUGUGUUUGUCUUAAUUGCCUAUUGUUUUGACUAAAAGCAGUUUUAUUACAUGCUGCUGAUUAUUUAGAUACCCUCCCUAUCAAAGUACUUCCAGCCAUUGUUUUUUUUUCUUUUUCUCCUAAACUGAAAAGCAACAAAGUUGAAUACUGUGGUCAGCUUCGAAAAUUAUCGAAGAUUUGGCAGAUUUUCUCCUAAAGUAAGUUGGCGGGGCGCUGUCAAAUGGUUCCUUAUUUUACAAGUUUGAUAUUGUGCAUGACAAAUUUUGGUAAUGUGGAAUGGAAUGAAUAUCAGUCCAUCUGUUACAAUUUUAUGAACAACAAUUUAUCAUUAUAUCUGGGAUAUCUACUUUUAAUUUAUCAUCUCUUACAGUUUCAUCAUCUCUUACAGCAUGUAACAUUUUUUGUUGAGAAUGGUUACAGUAAACAUGGAUUUUUCUGGUGAGAUUAUAGAAAUCUUAAAGAUUAACUUCUUUAUCCACACAAGUCUAUUUGUGAACCAAUACAUGCAAGAACAAAUGAAGGCAAACAAACAGCAUCGGUACUAAGUGUAGACAGAGAAGAUGUUCAGGUAAGUUUGGGACUUUCAAUCUGGCCUAGCAUAAUAGUUUCUCUCGGAAAAAAAUAAUUGGUACCUGCAAAUAAACAACAGUGAUUUAAUUAGAAUAACUAUGAAAAUGAAGGUUCAAGGAGGGAUGUGGGAGCACAUGACACAACGCAGGCGCAUGUAUACUUAUGCUUCAGCCCAGGGUUCUUGCACAUCACUAAGCACUAAGAAGUAUUCAGCUUGUUCUCUUUAAUGAAAAUACCUACUUAUUUUGUGUACCUGUGUAUUUCCUGCUUAUUUCUUUAAAGGAAAAAGUUCCUGAAUAUAUACUAUUUAAAUCAAUGGAUUUAUUAGUACUCCAACUUCAAGUGCAUCUGCUACUUUGGUUUGGUCAUAUAAACACAACCUGCUACGAAGUGGUUAAUCUGAACAAGGUACAAUAGUUUGUGUCAUCCUUUUUGCUAUAAUAUUUAAUGUUUGGGAAUAUGUCGAGCUUUUCUUCCUUUCUGGUUUUGUUAUUCGUAAUGUUAAAAGUAACUUACAUCAUCAUCUAGGGAUAUCAAAUUUGUGAGAAUAAGUGAGAUUUCAAAUGAAGUUACCUUCAAAUAGAUACAUGAUUUUUUUUUGGAUAUCAGUAAAACCCAUAACUAUAUGGACAUUGUGUUGCUCUUUUCCAAGUUUGAGUCUUCGCUUAUAUUUAUUUGAAUAUUUGUGCCAUUGACUUGUUCAUUCAUAUGCGUGUUUUUUAUAUUAUGCAUAAAAUCCGAAGUCUAAAAAGAUUACACAUUAUGAUACUAUACGGGCAUGUGCAUUGUUCUUGACUGACCUUUUUCUCUUAAAAGCUUGCCCAUGUCCUGUUGGACAUCAUCUGUGCAAUCUUUUGAUGCAUUCUCUAUAUUUGACACUAACCACACAAUCAUCAUUUAGUAGCAUUUUAUUUUUCCCUGAAUUCAUUCAGAAUAGCCUGCAGCUGUUUUUACUAUUGUACAAAAUCACGACGCUUCAAUAGAAGCAAAUCUUAAAAAAAAAGAUGAGGCACCAAUUUUUAUGGCAUCAUCAUGGUGCGCUGGAAAUAAAAACAUAAUUGAUCCUUUCUGUCUUUUGAUGUCUAAUUUUCAUUUGUCAUUUUCAUUCUCAGUAUUCUGCAGGAGAAGAAUUCUAGCUUGGAUAGACAGCUGGAAGAUGCUAAGACUAAUAUGCAAGAGGAGAUCAUUCUGUUACAAAGAUAGAAGGAACACACCUUUUAUUGUUUACAAAAGUCAAAUGCUUCAGUCAAGAGUCUUGAAUGUGAGUUAGAGUAGCAAAGAGAAAACAACUAUAUUCUACAGCCUGCCAAUGAAGAUAUGCAGAAGAGUAACUCUGACCUGAAGAAAGGGUCUGAAGAUGCCUUGGUUAGUUUCCAUGAUGAAAUUGUAGCAAUUCAAGAUAAGAAGAAUAAAACCCUCUCAGAGUUGCAGCAGUUUGUGGUUUCCGUUGAGAAUCUUAGAAUUGAGGAGCAGAUUUUUGAUGAAGACAUGAAGAAUAGCAAUGCUAGCUUGACCAAGAAAUGGGAGGAAUUAAGAGCAGCUUACUUGAGGAAACUGUAACACUACGUGAAGAGAAGUAAAUAGCUCUGUCAGAGUUACAACAGUCUCACGCUUCUACCAGGAACCUUGAGACAAAGGUGUAGAAAAGCAAAUUGCGAGUAUUUCAGUUGUACAACAAUCUAAUGAUGACUUACUGAAGAACAUUUGUGGCCUGACCCAACAGUUUGGAAAAUCCAAGGUUGAGUUGCAGAAGGAGAUUAAAGUGACACAAGAAAAGAGAUAAUGUAUUAACCCAACUAAAACAAUCAGAGUUUUCCUGCGAUGUAGCCUCCGAAGACCAUUUGUAGAUAAUGCUUUUAUUGUUCCUUUCUUAUAACAUAGCCAUUGAGUGUU